RNAcentral lists this long non-coding RNA (227 nucleotides) under Lathyrus oleraceus (garden pea). Its description in RNAcentral is "Pisum sativum (pea) long non-coding RNA (PSAT_LNC002601)". The record is from RNAcentral. Lineage: Eukaryota; Viridiplantae; Streptophyta; Magnoliopsida; Fabales; Fabaceae.
AAAUAUCAAAAUUAAUCCAAAAAGUUAUUUUAAUUCAGAAUAUGGAAAAGAAAAGUAUUUAAAGAUUCUUGGUGAAAGUCCCAUAUUUUUUGGAAAAAAAAAUCAAUUUCUAUGAAUAAAAUAAAAUAAGUGGAUUAAAUGGAAAUUCAUAAAAUACAAAAAAGGGAGGGCCAUCAGAUCUCCCUCAUUAAUUGAGGUGGUAGAUCUGACGGAUGAGCGCGCAUGUU